CAUUUUCAGAUUUGACAUCUCACUUGCUUCAAUUUCCAAAAUCCACCAUGAGACUCCCUGAAGGAAAUUUGGCUCAGAGCAGGAUGGCACCUGAACUGGACAAAAUCUUCUGACGUCUCCAGCUGCAGCCCUGUCCAUACUCUCAUUUACCAGUGAGAGGAAGGUGUUGCCACAUCAACUUGUCCCCUGUGGCAGUGAUAAACCCUGGCACUAAGAGCACAUGCAUGCUAUCCACAGCUGAGCUGAAAGAGUCUUAUCAAAGUCAGUGUGAAAAAUCGUUGAUGAGAAACCUUCAAAGCAUAUCUGGAAGAGCAUGAAACUGAUGGGAAAAGACCACUGUCAUUUUUAUCCAUCCUAAAUCAUUAGGUCUGAAAAAAGAUGCCCAGGACAGCA
This 393-nucleotide long non-coding RNA is filed under the name Parus major (Great Tit). Its description in RNAcentral is "lncRNA (ENSPMJG00000006965.1)". Lineage: Eukaryota; Metazoa; Chordata; Aves; Passeriformes; Paridae. The record is from RNAcentral.